UCGGGAAUUUUGGGCAAUGGGCGAAAGCCUGACCCAGCAAUGCCGCGUGAGUGAAGAAGGCCUUCGGGUUGUAAAGCUCUUUUGUCAGGGAAGAAACGGUAGUAGCGAAUAACUAUUACUAAUGACGGUACCUGAAGAAUAAGCACCGGCUAACUACGUGCCAGCAGCCGCGGUAAUACGUAGGGUGCAAGCGUUAAUCGGAAUUACUGGGCGUAAAGCGUGCGCAGGCGGUUGUGUAAGUCAGAUGUGAAAUCCCCGGGCUCAACCUGGGAAUUGCAUUUGAGACUGCACGGCUAGAGUGUGUCAGAGGGGGGUAGAAUUCCACGUGUAGCAGUGAAAUGCGUAGAUAUGUGGAGGAAUACCGAUGGCGAAGGCAGCCCCCUGGGAUAACACUGACGCUCAUGCACGAAAGCGUGGGGAGCAAACAGGAUUAGAUACCCAAGUAGUCCCUGAGCGGGCUGGCAAGGCGCAU
RNAcentral lists this ribosomal RNA (472 nucleotides) under uncultured bacterium. RNAcentral describes it as "bacterial SSU rRNA". It matches the Rfam family "Bacterial small subunit ribosomal RNA", at positions 355 to 825 of the family's 1533-position model. The record is from RNAcentral.